Beta vulgaris subsp. vulgaris (sugar beet) is the source of this 635-nucleotide long non-coding RNA. RefSeq lists it as uncharacterized. NCBI's taxonomy places the organism in Eukaryota, Viridiplantae, Streptophyta, Magnoliopsida, Caryophyllales, Amaranthaceae. The record is from RefSeq and is a predicted model, not a curated record. The transcript has 2 exons.
AGUCCAAAGUUCAAAGUUUCACAUUCAUUCCAAACAUUUUACAAAAGAUUGAAACCCCAAAAAUUUGUUCACUUUCUCUCUCCUCUGGUGCUGCCGCCGCCGCCGCCGCCGCAGCCGCAGUGCUCCCCCGCUUCUCGGCGUUGUUGCCGCAUUUGUGGCUGGCUGUUGUAGCUUUUGUGUGAAUUGUCAAUACUCCAAUAUGGAUUACGGUAUGGACAUUUCAACGGUUUAUUUUGGGUAAAAAUUAUGGAAGCUGGGGGUGAGCAUCACUGCUAUAUACUUCCUCCGUUUCACAAUAAGUGAAACAUAGAGAAAGUGGGGAGUUACCAAGGAAUUUAGAGAGAGAAAGUUGGGACCACAAUAAAGUAGAGUGAAGAAGUAUUGAAGUUGUGGUCUCCUCUUACUUUUUGGUGGUAUAUUUGUAAUAAGAGUGAACUUUUUUAACCAUUUAGAGCUUGGUUUCACUUAUUAUGAAUUAUGAUUAUUUCAAAUAAGGAAAGUAUUUCACUUAUUGUAAAGCGGAGGAAGUAUACUUCAUAGCUCUACAAGAUAGUACCAAUAUGUUACCUUGUCUUUCGUAUUUCCUCUGUUUUUUUUUAUUGCACCACUUUCCUAUUAUGGGUGUUUCUUUUUAA